Molecule: small RNA, 656 nt
Filed under: Cyperus leucocephalus
Lineage: Eukaryota; Viridiplantae; Streptophyta; Magnoliopsida; Poales; Cyperaceae
Description: eukaryotic LSU rRNA
Rfam family: 5.8S ribosomal RNA (bases 228-382)
Source: RNAcentral
GUAACAAGGUUUCCGUAGGUGAACCUGCGGAAGGAUCAUUGUCGUUGCCUUCAAACAUGACCGUGAACACGUAACACAAAGCUACCGGGGAGGGGCUUCCUCCUCGGACCCACCGGCCUCGGCCCUUCGGUCGAGUGUCGGAAUGCGGCGCGGAUUGUCGCCAAGGAACACUGAUUUGCUUAGGCAGGCCGCRYCAUGCGGUGCUGCUGAGGCCAAAUAAACAAUAYGACUCUCGGCAACGGAUAUCUCGGCUCUCGCAUCGAUGAAGAACGUAGCGAAAUGCGAUACGUGGUGUGAAUUGCAGAAUCCCGUGAACCAUCGAGUCUUUGAACGCAAGUUGCGCCCGAGGGACCCUCCCGAGGGCACGCCUGCCUGGGCGUUAGAAGCCCAUCAACGCUCGGUCACCCCUCCACAAACUGUGGCRGCGGAUUCGACCAGAUGCGGACAUUGGCCCUCCGAGCCGUAAAGGCACGGCGGGCUCAAGUGCAAGGCCGUCGAUGGUGUUGGGAGCGGCAAGUGGUGGGCUACAGCGCAUGCCGACCCCGACCCAUGUCGACAUUUGGCCCUUGUUGACCCCAGAACAAGGAGAUUGUCACUACAGCGUCUCGCUUUGUGACAUAUUCGGACCGAUACCCCAGGUCAGGCGGGGCCACCCG